RNAcentral lists this ribosomal RNA (468 nucleotides) under uncultured bacterium. Its description in RNAcentral is "bacterial SSU rRNA". It matches the Rfam family "Bacterial small subunit ribosomal RNA", at positions 328 to 792 of the family's 1533-position model. The record is from RNAcentral.
CACCCAGACUCCUACGGGAGGCAGCAGUGAGGAAUAUUGGUCAAUGGGCGGAAGCCUGAACCAGCCAAGUCGCGUGAGGGAAGAAGGCCCUGCGGGUCGCAGACCUCUUUGGACGGGGAGCAAGGCCGCCGACGUGUCGGCGGAAGGAGAGUACCCGUAGAACAAGCAUCGGCUAACUCCGUGCCAGCAGCCGCGGUAAUACGGAGGAUGCGAGCGUUGUCCGGAAUGACUGGGCGUAAAGGGAGCGUAGGCGGCGCGGUAAGUUAGGAGUGAAAUCCCGGGGCUCAACCCCGGAACUGCUUUUAAAACUGCCGUGCUUGAGUGAUGGAGAGGAAAGCGGAAUUCCUAGUGUAGCGGUGGAAUGCGUAGAUAUUAGGAAGAACACCGGUGGCGAAGGCGACUUUCUGGACUGUAACUGACGUUGAGGCACGAAAGUGUGGGGAGCAAACAGGAUUAGAUACCCCAGUA